This 647-nucleotide long non-coding RNA is filed under the name Agrilus planipennis (emerald ash borer). Its description in RNAcentral is "uncharacterized LOC108740912, transcript variant X2". The record is from RNAcentral. Lineage: Eukaryota; Metazoa; Arthropoda; Insecta; Coleoptera; Buprestidae.
UUGUUACAGGAUCUGAGCUCAACGAUCACAGACCAGGUCCAUAUCUAGAGAUCCUUCUUCUAACAGAGUGGCUGGCGUGGCUUUGGGUUUUGCAUCCAAACUUAAAAACGGAGCAGUUGAAAUUGUACGUAAACAACUGAAAAUUGGGAUCAUUGUGUAAAAUGUCAAAUGAAAACUUGGUUAAAGCACGAAUUAUGAUAUUUCUUCAAGUUUUCCAGAAACAUUGCUCUUACUAACCGCAUCUCCUCAAAUUCUGCUGAAAAGCAUCACAUUAUAUCGGGUCAAAAAUAUGUUGAAGUCUCAUUAACCCCAAGACGUUUUAAGACACUCCAGAAUGCACACAUACGUAUACAAAAGAAGAUUACAAAAUCGUUUCCCAUAAUUAAUUAGCCUAACCAUUUGGGGUUAAAACGAAGCAGGUGUGGAAUCUGUAGGACGUAUGAUCAUGGAAUUAUAGCCAUCGAAUUUUUCCCUCCUCGAGAGCUUAACUUCUUCAAUUUCUUUGCGUACCGGGGUGCGUAUCUGAUUGGAAAAUUUCUUUCACUCCGAAUCGCUUCCGAUAGUAUUUCAGCAUGUAUUUGAUAUUUGGAAUACCCAGUUUUAAUGUAACGUAUAUGUACAUAAGAAUAAAUAAAAAAUUUAACUUA